This 473-nucleotide ribosomal RNA is filed under the name uncultured organism. Its description in RNAcentral is "partial 16S ribosomal RNA". It matches the Rfam family "Bacterial small subunit ribosomal RNA", at positions 332 to 797 of the family's 1533-position model. The record is from RNAcentral.
UACACUCCUGCGGGAGGCAGCAGUGGGGAAUAUUGCACAAUGGGCGCAAGCCUGAUGCAGCCAUGCCGCGUGUAUGAAGAAGGCCUUCGGGUUGUAAAGUACUUUCAGCGGGGAGGAAGGCGAUAAGGUUAAUAACCUUGUUGAUUGACGUUACCCGCAGAAGAAGCACCGGCUAACUCCGUGCCAGCAGCCGCGGUAAUACGGAGGGUGCAAGCGUUAAUCGGAAUUACUGGGCGUAAAGCGCACGCAGGCGGUCUGUCAAGUCGGAUGUGAAAUCCCCGGGCUCAACCUGGGAACUGCAUUCGAAACUGGCAGGCUAGAGUCUUGUAGAGGGGGGUAGAAUUCCAGGUGUAGCGGUGAAAUGCGUAGAGAUCUGGAGGAAUACCGGUGGCGAAGGCGGCCCCCUGGACAAAGACUGACGCUCAGGUGCGAAAGCGUGGGGAGCAAACAGGAUUAGAAACCCGAGUAGUCCC